This 427-nucleotide ribosomal RNA is filed under the name uncultured bacterium. Its description in RNAcentral is "partial 16S ribosomal RNA". It matches the Rfam family "Bacterial small subunit ribosomal RNA", at positions 354 to 796 of the family's 1533-position model. The record is from RNAcentral.
GUGGGGAAUAUUGCGCAAUGGGGGAAACCCUGACGCAGCAAUACCGCGUGAGUGAAGAAGGUUUUCGGAUCGUAAAACUCUUUUAUUGGGGAAGAAGAAGUGACGGUACCCAAUGAAGAAGUCCCGGCUAACUACGUGCCAGCAGCCGCGGUAAUACGUAGGGGACAAGCGUUGUCCGGAAUCACUGGGCGUAAAGGGCGCGUAGGCGGUUUUAUAAGUCAGAUGUGAAAGGUACCGGCUCAACCGGUGACGUGCAUUUGAAACUGUAAGACUUGAGGACUGGAGAGGCAAGUGGAAUUCCUAGUGUAGCGGUGAAAUGCGUAGAUAUUAGGAGGAACACCGGUGGCGAAGGCGGCUUGCUGGACAGAUACUGACGCUGAGGUGCGAAAGCGUGGGGAGCGAACAGGAUUAGAAACCCGAGUAGUCC